AGCGGCGGACGGGUGAGUAACACGUGGGUAACCUGCCCAAGAGACUGGGAUAACACCUGGAAACAGAUGCUAAUACCGGAUAACAACACUAGACGCAUGUCUAGAGUUUGAAAGAUGGUUCUGCUAUCACUCUUGGAUGGACCUGCGGUGCAUUAGCUAGUUGGUAAGGUAACGGCUUACCAAGGCAAUGAUGCAUAGCCGAGUUGAGAGACUGAUCGGCCACAUUGGGACUGAGACACGGCCCAAACUCCUACGGGAGGCAGCAGUAGGGAAUCUUCCACAAUGGACGAAAGUCUGAUGGAGCAACGCCGCGUGAGUGAAGAAGGGUUUCGGCUCGUAAAGCUCUGUUGGUAGUGAAGAAAGAUAGAGGUAGUAACUGGCCUUUAUUUGACGGUAAUUACUUAGAAAGUCACGGCUAACUACGUGCCAGCAGCCGCGGUAAUACGUAGGUGGCAAGCGUUGUCCGGAUUUAUUGGGCGUAAAGCGAGUGCAGGCGGUUCAAUAAGUCUGAUGUGAAAGCCUUCGGCUCAACCGGAGAAUUGCAUCAGAAACUGUUGAACUUGAGUGCAGAAGAGGAGAGUGGAACUCCAUGUGUAGCGGUGGAAUGCGUAGAUAUAUGGAAGAACACCAGUGGCGAAAGCGGCUCUCUGGUCUGCAACUGACGCUGAGGCUCGAAAGCAUGGGUAGCGAACAGGAUUAGAUACCCUGGGUAGUCCAUGCCGUAAACGAUGAGUGCUAAGUGU
This 743-nucleotide ribosomal RNA is filed under the name uncultured bacterium. RNAcentral's name for it is "bacterial SSU rRNA". It matches the Rfam family "Bacterial small subunit ribosomal RNA", at positions 94 to 823 of the family's 1533-position model. The record is from RNAcentral.